AGUCCGUUGCAUCAUUCUCUCGAUAGUUUGUCCACUAUAUUGUGAAGGACGAUGUCGAAAGUUGUGGCAGUAGUGAUGGUUCUUAGUUUGAUGAUGACCACCUCGGCCGAACACCAGGAGCGAGUAGUGGUAGCUACUCCAAUAGAAGGAACUAGUCAAGGACGGGUGCGCUAUUCGGUAACUCCGACGUACUCUACUACAUCACCGUCACUCGAUGGUGCACAUCCACAUUGUGGGGGUCGUGACCCAAAAAAUUGUCCUCCGCCUCCUGCAUGGUGACAAGUUGUAUUUUUUGCCAUGCUUGCUAUGCUGAAUAAAACAUCGUCCAUGCUAUUGUUUUCUUAGGAGAGUUCUAAUACUACAUUUCUUCGACUUUAACUUUUUUCGCGAAUACGCAAAGAUUGCGUAUCAUUCCAUUGAUAGGUAGAGAGAGUUUAUAUACAAGUGUGUGCUAUUCUUGUGGCCGUACACAGUUAGCUGGCGGCACCAAGAGAGCAAGUGAGCAGAAAGAGAGGUUGUUCAGCCUAACAUGCAAAAUUCGAUCCAGUCCUUUUGCGCCGGCCUUGGCCCAGCGCACAGCCUCGUGCUGAAUGGUCGCCAUGAGGUGGGUAUGGGAUGGAGAUGCUCCGUCGAAGAGGACGGCAUUCCGAUGCUUCCAAGUACUCUAUGCCAUGAGGAUGAUCAGAGAGUUGACACCUUUCCGUAAACCUGCCGGGGAGGUGGCAGCGGCGGUCUCCCACCACCUGAAGAAGCUGGUGGUUCCGUCUAUUGGUGCAAUGGGCAGCCGGCACCAUGCAAGCACCUCAUGCCAGGAUAUGCGCGCUAGCACGCAUCCAACAAGCAAGUGGUCGAUGGUCUCGUCUGCUUGGUUACAGAGCUUGCAGUUGGGGUCGUGGGGUAGCCCGUGUCUCGCGCGUCGCUCUGCUGUCCAGCAACGGUUGAGGGCAGCAAGCCAUAAGAAGAUUUUUGCAUUCGAGGGCGCCCAGGUCCUCCAAAUGAGUCACCAGAAUGGUGCCGUGGUGGAGCCGUGGAACAUGAGCUCGCCGUGUAGAUUCCAUUGGGAGUCCAUUUCCAGGAUAACUUGUCGGGGUUGGCACAUAGGGAGACGCCCUGCAGCUGCUGCCAUAACUCGACAUACUUGACGAUGGCUCCGGGGUCGAGCGUGCCAUGGAUGUCGGAGAUCCAGGUAUUGUUUGUCAGUGCUUCACUGACGAGUCGUCGUUUGCGUCGUCGGCGCGGAAUGAGAGAGCUCAGCGUAGGGGCCAACUCCGUGAUGGAAUGGCCGUUGAGCCAAUGAUCAGACCAAAACGGCAAGUGUUUCCGUCGCCAAGGGUCCAUGUGGUGGAAGCGCGAAAGAAUUCCAAGGUCUCGCGGUCGUGCGGGAGGUGUAGGUGUUUCCACGGGCGCUCCUGGUCACUGGCUUGAAGCCAAAGCCACCGGGUUCGCAGCGACACGCCGCUGCGCUGGAUGUCGCGAAUGGCUAGCCCGCCAUAGGCUAGAGGGCGGCAGACACGGGCCCAGGAGACUGGACAACAGCCUCCAUUGACAUCCCGCCGUCCAAACCAAAGGAAGUCUCGGAUGAGCUUGGUGAUCCGCUUGAGGAUGGGAGGGGCGAUCUCCAUCGCAAGGAAGUCUCGGACUUUAACUUUUCUCUCGGUGUUUUCCUUGUAUUAAAUAAAAAAGCAAGUUCUUCAGCUACUGCCAAAAUGAUAUAGCCACCGGCUCAUCAGGGACAUGCACAUAUAUUGCUCGUCACUGGUAACUUGAAAACUUACCAGUGGCAAACAAAAUUCCAGGUUCGCAAGUGGUAAGUGCUUACCACUGGUGAGCCUUGAUAACUAGACAAUACCCCGCGUGUUGCAGCGGAAUAGUAACAAUUUAAAAGAGAAGGGCACACGGUAAGGAGAAAACGAGUAAGAAAAUAAGAAAUAAGAUGAUGAGUGGUGGAGAAUUAAACGGUAAGAGAUAUGGGACGCGCGUAUGCCUGACCCUGCUGGGUUGUAUGAUACCGCGGGAGAAGGUGGGCCAAAUGACCUGAUCGAGGUGGCUUCAUGGUGUUGCACGCGGCAACAUCCUCAGCGGCAGUGCGCCUGCGACCGUGGCAGCCCCGUCCGAUUUGGCCGGCAUGGUCUAUGACAUGUAGCUCGGGCCGGACUACUAUCGCCCAUGGAAGGACUCGGGAGAUAGUACCACUAAUAAUGACAAGCGACCAAAAACAAUAAAUACUAGUAGAACAUCUUCUAUGGAAACAAAUGGAAAAAAGAAAAGAAUACAACACAAAAGUGAUGCACCAUUAGCACUUGUUAUUUUUUCCUCACCAUAUCUUAUAUUUCUUUGUUAUGCAAAUGCAAUUGCACAUUGUUUUCUACUCCCUCCGUCCGUGAAUAAGUGUACUUCUAGCUUUUGUGUUAAGUCAAAGUUUUGAAAUUUUGACCAACUAUAUACAAAAGAGUAAUAACAUAUAUGACACAAAAUUGGUACAUUAUAAAAGUACAUUUCAAAAUAGACCUAGUGAUAUUAAUUUAGUGUCAUAAAUGCUAGUACUUUUCCCUAUAAAGUUGGUCAAAGUUUUAAAACUUUGACCUAAGACAAAAGCUAGAAGUACACUUAUUCGCGGGCGGAGGGAGUACCGAGUAACUAGAUUGUCACCCGGCUUGGACGCAAGCGAUUAAAUUGUAGCUAUAUACACUUUCUUUUGGGUACUUAACAUGUGUGUUUGAGUCCGGAUGAUGAUAUGUCAAGUCAUGCAUGAUAGCCUCAUGCCUAAAACCUUCCAUGCUUUUGCUAUCAUACAUGAGAUUGUAAGAUUCUCUUUGGAACAAUAUGCGGUCACUAGACAUGGUUAUCAGGUGUACAUGACAUGGGAGCAACGGGAGGGAUGGGAGGGGCUGGAGGAGGGAGGCGGGUGAAGGAGGAGAUCUAGAGGCUCGAGGCCUCGUUUGAAAAAUCCAGCACCGGUAGCCUCUGACUGAGUUUCAGUCAAUAGUCGCUAUAAAUUACCGGGCAAAUUACAGCCUCGCUAGAAUAGGUUAAUAUUCCGGGAGAGCGGCGACGGUAUGGACGGGCUCAUGCGCUCCCGCUAGGUGGAUGAACGACUCGCUGACACGUAGCGUAUUGUAUUGAAUGCUAUCGUGUGCGUACACGGUGAGUACAGGUGCGGAGCCGUCCAAAUUAACCGGGAUAUAGCGGCCCAGCAUGGUGGUGUUCCGUUAGUACAGGAUUGUCAGAGCGUCACGUAACAACCGCCGUCAUCCACGCCCGUUACGCAGACGCCGUUCUUUUUUUUUUGAAACUCAGAUGCCGUUCUUCUAAUGGGUAAAUGGGUACCCAACUCUGGGUCCAAAUCAUAGAGUGCAAGAAACAAAAAAAAUUCACCAACAAACUUCCACAAAAAAAACAUCGGAUGACAAGAUGACAAUGUAGAAUAACUAUAAACACUCUGCACACCUGGAAACAGAAGUGGCAGGCGAACAAAUGAACCGUUGCUGCUUUACUUUGAUAAUCACUCUGCAACUUCGAUACUGCUGCCAUCAGCUUCUAGAUAGCAUAUUCACACCAACUGAAUUGCGCUAUCAAUUCCGGGUUAGCUAGAGCACCCCAGAAAUCAAUCGUCAUCGUGUAAUACUUUGUGCACGGUAGUCCUGGCCAUGGGCAGCCCGGCCCGACCCGGCCCAAAAAAGCCCGACCCGGCCCGGCCCGACGCCGCUCCCGGGCUGGGCUCGGGCCUAGAUUUGAGCCCGAAGACUGGGCCGGGCCGGGCCUGGGCCCAUCGUUUUCGCGUUUUCCUGAAGAACGGGCCGGGCCGGCCCAAAGCCUGACGAGCUUUUACGUGUUCGGACCGGGCUUGGGCCCAGAAAACCGGCCCGACGGCCGGGCUCGGGCCUGGGUUUCUUGCGUCGGGCUUGGCUAGGCCCAGCCCGAAGCCCGGCCCGGCCCGAGGUAUGGCCAGGUAUAGUGCACGGUGCUACCAGAUAUCCCAUCACAAAAAUUACGAAAACGAUCUGAAAGCAAUCCUUCUCCAUCUUACUAGAAUUCUCGGAAAGCUCUCUGUUUAUAAAGCUUUCAGCCGCUUUCAAAUUCUGAGCAACUGAACUAUCCAUGCCAAUUGUACACUUGAUGAAAUGGAUUGCCGGAGCAGCAAUUUGUGCAUCCCUACCACACACAUCUCGGUUCCCACAUGGGAUGCCAAAAACCUUGUGGAAAUCCUCGGCUGUGAAAGCAAUCAUCUUCUUAUCGUCUAUUUCAAUUACACGACACCGAGCAUUUACCUUCCUCAUGACCCAAACACUCAUUUUCAGCUCCAACCUUGCAAUCAUCGGCAAAUUCAGAAUUCCACCGAAUCCAGUCUCAGAUACAAGCCAUCUCUUGUAUUCAGACAUGCACACCAGCUUUGAAAAACAGGCGUCUUCACCUUCAGCAAAGAAUGCCCCUUACUGCACUUUGUCGCCUAUAAUCCAAUCAGCGAUGCUUGAACUAAAAAAGCGAAAAACUACUAGCUACAGGUUUUACUGCAUGUAAACAUGAAACCAUUUCAUUCAUAAUAUUUGGAUGACACUAGUACACCAUCAGCAGUACAUUUCCACCUCCAAAACUGUCUCCAGCUACACCAGCAUUGGCGCUACACGGGUACAGCGUCACUUAGUACUGACCACCACACUUUGACCACCUAAAACGUACUUAGCAGCUUAAUUUACAUAGCACUUAACACUACUCCCAGCAACUCUCGCUGUCAUCUCCACCACAGAACCUAAUUCAGCACACGCAGGAUAACAUCCGCCACCAGCAACAUGAGAAUGGCCACGCCAAUCACUAAAUUUGUUACGGAGACCACCAAAUUUAUGGAUGCAGCAUCGUCGACUUUGGCACCCUGACGACCCGCAACUGGAGCCGCUGCCAGCAUGUAUCCUGCGACUGUACUUGCAAAGGAUGCAGCCUGCGACGCCUCCGGCGCUCCGUUUUGCUGAACCGGAUGAACCUGCGGCGCCUGCACAACUUGAGCUCCAGCCGCCUGCCCGCCCUGCAUCUGACCUGCCCCGAUUUGCCACACUGGAUGUGCUGCUCCUCCAAAAGUCGCAACAUGCGCCGCGUAGGCUUCCUCCCAUCUGUAGAAAUCGCAUCCACCCCUGAUGGCUGCCACGGAUUCACGAGAAAGCAUACCUCGUGAGAAACUGACCAAGAAGAAACAUCAGAAAAGAACUCCGAAAUCCAAUCCAAUAAACUAUACUUACGUUGUGAUUCCGGCACUUGUAGAAUCGCUGGCCGGCGUUCUGCCCGCGCCGCGCUAUGUAGGUGACCACGUUCCUGCCGCAGUCCGGACAAGGCACGAUCGGCAGAGCAACUGGGUCAGCACCUGGAUCUGCCAUCUUUGCAACCUAAUUUUUCUCUCUUCUUCGAUUUGUGAUGUACUAAAGGAAACACUGCGGGGCAGCUAGGGUUUCUUCUCUCGAUUUGAGGAUCGAAUGGGGACCAGACCAACAAGAAUCCGUGGGCUGGGUACUCCGUCUAGGUGUGUAAGUCAUCUUACGUUGCGCACCGUGACCAAAGUGGAGGGGAAAACGAGAGAACUUAAUGUGUUUUUGCUAAUUAAUAACAAUGCAUGCAACGAACUAACCAAUGCAUGUCGUGUUUGGUAGUCUCAAAUCAUUUAAAGCAUGCAUGACCCACAUCUCUU
RNAcentral lists this long non-coding RNA (5671 nucleotides) under Triticum aestivum (bread wheat). RNAcentral describes it as "long non-coding RNA (TAES_LNC023595)". Lineage: Eukaryota; Viridiplantae; Streptophyta; Magnoliopsida; Poales; Poaceae. The record is from RNAcentral.